GCCUUAAUAAUAAUUUAAGGUGAUGCCUGCCCAAUGAUAAUAAAAGUAUUUUUUUAUUGUAAAAAUUUAUUAUUUCAAUGGCCGCAGUAUUCUUGACUGUGUUAAGGUAGCACAAUCAAUCGCCGCUUAAUUGGCGGAUGGUAUGAAUGGUAAUACGAAAAUUUCACUGUCUCAAAUGUAGGAUUAAAAAAAUUGAAAUAAUAGUUAAGAUGCUAUUUAAAAUUGUAAGACGAUAAGACCCUAUAAAGCUUUACUACUAUCCUUAAUAUAUAAAUUUAUUAGGGAAAAGGUAGUUUACUUGGGGCAAGGACUUUUUAAAUUAAAAAAAAGUAUGCAAAAUGAAUAAAACAUUUAUUGUAUAAACUAUAAUUUUAACAAUCACAAAGUGGGCUAUAAUGACCCGUUUAUCCUUUAAAAACAGAUAAACAAUUAUUAAAUAAAAGCUACUUUAGGGAUAACAGGAUAAUUUUAUCAAAGAGUCCACAUUACUGAUAAAGUUUGUCACCUCGAUGUUGAAUUAAGAUUUCCUAGCGGAGCAGAAACUGCUAAGGGUGGGUCUGUUCGACCCUUAAAUAUCUU
Molecule: ribosomal RNA, 579 nt
Filed under: Plumularia strictocarpa
Lineage: Eukaryota; Metazoa; Cnidaria; Hydrozoa; Leptothecata; Plumulariidae
Description: partial 16S ribosomal RNA
Rfam family: Bacterial large subunit ribosomal RNA
Source: RNAcentral